CAACAAAAAUAGUCUAUAGCAACACUUUUAAAUGUAGAUACAUGUCAAAAAAGUGCUGCUAGCUAAAAUUACCGACACUUUUAAAAAGUAUUGCUAUAUGUGGGGUCCCUAGGUAUAUAGUGACAGUUAAAGAGUGUCGCUAUAAUCUAAAAGAGUGCUGCUAAUUACCAACACUUAUUUAAGCAUUUAGCAACCGCCGAAACUCUAUCUCGUUGGCUGCGGUAGCGGAGGAGGACGACAGGAAAGGGUCUUCGUCUAGAAUUUCAAUGGAUUGAGUGAAGAGAGAAGAAAAGAUGGCAAUUGAAUUUCUAUGGUGCUUCCGAUUCUUUGGACCUUAGAUCAAGCCCUUUAAUCAUUUCUAACCUUUGAAUUAAUACUAUUAACCUGUGGGGACCACUCAACCCAAGGGGUAUUACUCAACCCUCGGGGGACCACAAUCAUCUCAACCGUAUAAUUUUUUAUCUAAUGGUCAAAAAGUUGGAAGCAUCAGAUCAUCUAUGCUUCUGAUAGCAUAGUAGUUCUACACUGGGCGUGUUUGGUUCGCUUCUUUUUUACCAUGGAAUCGGAAUGGGAAUGAGUGAAUCCAUUUGUGGGUGUUUGGUACGUGGGAAUCUCACUCCGAUUCCGAUUCCCGAGUGGAAUGGGAAUCGCUUAAUCAGCCUUUUUUCAAUCCGGCCUAGAAGGCCGGAUUGGAAGUUGAAUCUGGACGGAAUGGAUAUUUAUUUGGAUUAAAUUUAUUUUUUCAAUAUUUUUAAUUAAAAUAUGAGUUAUAAUUUAAAAAUUAAAUAUAUAAUUUUAAAUUUUAAUUUUAAAUUAAAUUAAAAAUUAAAUUUUAAUCAAGUAUUUCGAAUCUAACUUAUGAAUUUGAAUUUAAAUUAAAAUUUUAAUUUAUAUAAAGUUUAUUCAAAUUUUAUUUCAAACUUAAAUUUAGUUUUAUAUUUUGAAUUAUCCACUCAACUUCAAAGUUUAAUUUUUUUUAAAAAAAAUAGAUUUAAAAUUUUGACAUCAUUUUAAAAUUUUGAUGUAAAAUUCUAAUACUUAAUAUUUAAUUUGAAUUUAAAUUAAUAUAUUAUAAAGAUAAUGUUAGUAUAUUAAUUUGAUUACGUUUUUAUAUCCAUCUGAACCAAACACCGACAAUGGGAAUGAUUUAUUCCAAUUCCGAUUCAGGUGAUGAACCAAACAGAAUUAGGUAAUGAGUCAUUCCGAUUCCGAUUCCAGCUUAUUUUGAUUCCGAUUCCGAUUCCGACUCCGAUUUCGAACCAAACACGCCCUAUAUAUAUAUAAUUAGGCUACUAUACUAUCUAUAAUACCGAAGCUCCGGUACUAUAGUCUUGUUUUCGAUCUUAGGGUGUUCAAAUUAACGAUCCACACCGUUAAAUAUGAUGUAGGGUAUAUGAAGCUCUUAAGAAUAAAAUUUUAGUUUUUUUCGAUAUCGUUUACUUAGUAAAUAAAUUAUGUCAAAAUAGACGGUGGAAAUUGAAUAAUCUUUAAAAUUUGAACCGAUGGAAAUCUGCUA
This 1516-nucleotide long non-coding RNA is filed under the name Ananas comosus (pineapple). RNAcentral describes it as "long non-coding RNA (ACOM_LNC003325)". Lineage: Eukaryota; Viridiplantae; Streptophyta; Magnoliopsida; Poales; Bromeliaceae. The record is from RNAcentral.